ACUAAAUGUGAAGAUGUGCCUGUAAAGAUUGAAAAUGGCUUUGUAAUAAAAGAUGACACAAAUGGAACAUCCGUGAAAAUAAUCUGUAAUAAAGACGCCUUUGUCGCAGGAACUAACGAUACCACGACCACCAUUCGUUGCGUUGAUGGAGAAUGGGAUCAUCCAUUCCCAUCAUCAUGUAAAGAACCAACAUGCCCACCUCCUCCACUGACAUUAUGGAAUGGUAUUGUCAAAAGGCAAAAUAAUACAGUAUCAUUCAUUUGUGAUGACGAUUACUAUAUACCCAGUACAUCAGAUGUGGAACUCGUAGUAACAUGUGAAAAUGAAGAGUGGGAUAAAGACUUCCCAGUAGGGUGUGUUGAUUCUGUAGAAGGAACACUAAAUUCUUUUUGUAAGUUGAGCUCAUUUUCUACAUGUUGGUCAUAUAUUAGUUAAAAUUCAAAUGUCCAGUUUCUAUUUGAUGUCUGAUUUUCGAGACAUCUCUUAUAAUACUGCUAUAAGCAAUAGGCCUAAGAACAGUAUUACAUUUCUCAGUAAUUAUUCUUUAUUAUAAAAUAGUUAGGUUUAAAGAAACACAAAUGGAGUAACGUAAUUUCAAAAAAACAUUAAUACUUAUUAUUAUAGCCCAGGGGCGGAGAUCAGAAACAAAAAAAAAAACCAAAAAAAAAACAAAAAGAAAAAACUUUCACUAAUUAGUAGGAUUAUUCCCAUGAAAUGGUUUGUUCCGUUGUGAUGUUUAUCUGAUAGUAAUAAUAAUAAUAAUAAUAUUUAUUUGGACUUACACAUUUACAGCAGUGGCAUACUUUGAAACACGAAGGUGGGUGCGUCUGAGAAACAAAACUAUUACAUCAAAAGUAAAAAGAUCAACUAACUUCAAUCAAAUCAAAACAGCUUACACAUUAAUCCUUUCUUCCCUCCCCAUCCCUCUCUGAACAGUUCAAAUUGUACCCUUUCCAUUAAAUAAGACUUUACUUAACUUUGCCCCAUAUUUUAUUAAAACAAUACAAAAUACUAAGUACGGUACUCUUCUUUCCUCUUCUCUCCCUAAGCAAUGCAAAUAUUUACCUCUUCUUUUAAAACAUUAUAUAAUUUGAACAUCAAGAGUUUUCAUGCUCUUUUGGUGUAUAGCUUUUUCUUUGGGGGUGGG
Long non-coding RNA from Anneissia japonica, 1147 nucleotides. RefSeq lists it as uncharacterized. The record is from RefSeq and is a predicted model, not a curated record. The transcript has 3 exons. Lineage: Eukaryota; Metazoa; Echinodermata; Crinoidea; Comatulida; Comatulidae.